Molecule: ribosomal RNA, 274 nt
Filed under: uncultured bacterium
Lineage: Bacteria
Description: partial 16S ribosomal RNA
Rfam family: Bacterial small subunit ribosomal RNA
Source: RNAcentral
AUACGGGGGGGGCAAGCGUUGUUCGGAAUUAUUGGGCGUAAAGGGCGCGUAGGCGGUCCCGCAAGUCUUUCGUGAAAUCCCACAGCUCAACUGUGGAACUGCGAGGGAAACUGCAGGACUUGAGUCCGGGAGAGGAGAGUGGAAUUCCCAGUGUAGCGGUGAAAUGCGUAGAUAUUGGGAGGAACACCGGUGGCGAAGGCGGCUCUCUGGACCGGUACUGACGCUGAGGCGCGAAAGCUAGGGGAGCAAACAGGAUUAGAUACCCCGGUAGUCC